This 467-nucleotide ribosomal RNA is filed under the name uncultured bacterium. Its description in RNAcentral is "partial 16S ribosomal RNA". It matches the Rfam family "Bacterial small subunit ribosomal RNA", at positions 28 to 506 of the family's 1533-position model. The record is from RNAcentral.
GACGAACGCUGGCGGCGUGCUUAACACAUGCAAGUCGAACGGAAAGGCCCUGCUUUUGUGGGGUGCUCGAGUGGCGAACGGGUGAGUAACACGUGAGUAACCUGCCCUUGACUUUGGGAUAACUUCAGGAAACUGGGGCUAAUACCGGAUAGGAGCUCCUGCUGCAUGGUGGGGGUUGGAAAGUUUCGGCGGUUGGGGAUGGACUCGCGGCUUAUCAGCUUGUUGGUGGGGUAGUGGCUUACCAAGGCUUUGACGGGUAGCCGGCCUGAGAGGGUGACCGGCCAAAUGGGGACUGAGAUCCGGCCCAGACUCCUACGGGAGGCAGCAGGGGGGAAUUUUGCACAAGGGGGGGAAGCCUGAUGGAGCAACCCCGGGGGGGGGAUGACGGCCUUGGGGUUGUAAACCGCUUUCCCCUGUGACGAAGCGGGAGUGACGGUAAUGGGAAAAGAAGCACCGGCUAACUACGG